CCUACGGGUGACGGCAGUGAGGAAUAUUGGUCAAUGGACGAGAGUCUGAACCAGCCAAGUAGCGUGAAGGAUGACUGCCCUAUGGGUUGUAAACUUCUUUUAUAUGGGAAUAAAACGUUCCACGUGUGGGAUUUUGUAUGUACCAUAUGAAUAAGGAUCGGCUAACUCCGUGCCAGCAGCCGCGGUAAUACGGAGGAUCCGAGCGUUAUCCGGAUUUAUUGGGUUUAAAGGGAGCGUAGGUGGAUUGUUAAGUCAGUUGUGAAAGUUUGCGGCUCAACCGUAAAAUUGCAGUUGAAACUGGCAGUCUUGAGUACAGUAGAGGUGGGCGGAAUUCGUGGUGUAGCGGUGAAAUGCUUAGAUAUCACGAAGAACUCCGAUUGCGAAGGCAGUUCACUGGACUGCAACUGACACUGAGGCUCGAAAGUGUGGGUAUCAAACAGGAUUAGAUACCCGUGUAGUC
This 460-nucleotide ribosomal RNA is filed under the name uncultured bacterium. RNAcentral's name for it is "partial 16S ribosomal RNA". It matches the Rfam family "Bacterial small subunit ribosomal RNA", at positions 338 to 795 of the family's 1533-position model. The record is from RNAcentral.